CUUCGCUCACUGCAGGCUCCGCCUCCCGGGUUCACGCCAUUCUCCUGCCUCAGCCUCCCGAGUAGCUGGAACUACAGGCGCCCGCCAUGAUGCCCGGCUCAUUUUCUGUGUUUUCAGUAGAGACGGGGUUUCACUGUGUUAGCCAGGAAAGUCUUGAUCUCCUGACCUCGUGAUCCUGACCUCGGCCUCCCAAAGUGCUGGGAUUACAGGCGCGAGCCACCGCGCCCGACAGCAGUUAUGAAGUUCUAAAAGCAAGUCUUAAUCAGGAAGUGUCCUUGAUCACCAACGGCUCGCCCAGGCAUGCUGGCUCUCUUCCACUUCCACCUUCCACCAUGGGAUGACGCAGUAAGAAGGCCAUCAGUAGAUGCCAGUCCCUCAACCUUGAACUUUCCAGACGCAGAACUUUAUGCCUCCAUUUUCCUCUGCUGCAUGGCCCCAGGAGAGAUUUUAAUUAGCUUUCUAACCUUGGUCCAGAUUGCACAUGCAAAUGGUAGAGGAUGCAACACCCCCGCUUGUGGAGCUGCCGCUUGUGUCUGGCAUGAAAAUUCACAAGAAGAGAGGAAAUACUGAGGAGAAAAUGGCAGAUUGUGUUUGCUGAAUUUGAUUGACGAAGAAGUCACCAUGAAAAUCACAGUGAACCAUUUGGAAAGCAAACUGCCAAAAAAUAAUAGUUAGUCAUGCUCUCAGGCUGGUUGUUUUGGCUGUUGUGGGUUUCUUGCAUUUCCAGAUGAUUGCAAAGAGCUGUUUCUCAAUUUCUGCAACAAGUGCCAGCUGAAAUUUUGGUACCAGUUUCAUUAAAUAUGUAGAACAAUUUGAGCCUGAGUGAGUUCUGUGGAGCCCAUACUACCUGCGAUUCAAGCCAGCAACCUUGGAAUCUCCCUGAACAAUUUCUAUGGUGUCCAAUCACAUUUGCAAUCACUCCCCACACUCAGACUGUGUAUUUUUGGCUGCUCUCCAAGCCCUUGAGGAAAACACUUGGAGUCAAUCUCAUCCUUUUGAUGCAGUGCUGAGUAAUGAGAGAUUUUAGAAGAUGGAAAAAAGAAAAAUACAUUGCACUCUGAAACAUUCUACAUAAAAAUGGAAUGUGUGGUCAUUAGAUUAACUCAGGCUUUGGACCUCGGGGCAUAAAACCCAUUUCCUCUUACACCAGUCUCUGAAGCUUAAAGGAUUCGUUAUUUCCAGUUGCAAAUGCCAUCAGAAAAGGAUUGUUUUUCUUUCUAGUACCACCAAGAAUGUAGUUUACCAUUGUGAAUAAACUGUCUUAAGCUUUCCCCGAAUAAAAUAAAUACAAAUGCUCCUCAACUUACAAUGAUGUUAUGUUCCAGUAAAACCACCACAAGUUGAAAAUACCAUCAGUCAAAAUACAUUUAAUACUCUCAACCCACCAAACAUCACAGCUUAUCUCAGCCCGACCUUAGACGCGCUCAGAACACUUACAUUAGCUUACAGUUGGGCAAAAUCAUCCACCACAAAACCU
This 1477-nucleotide long non-coding RNA is filed under the name Homo sapiens (human). Its description in RNAcentral is "HSALNT0395066". The record is from RNAcentral. Lineage: Eukaryota; Metazoa; Chordata; Mammalia; Primates; Hominidae.